CACAUGCAAGUCGUACGAGAAACCCUGGCUUCGGUUAGGGAAGUAAAGUGGCGCACGGGUGAGUAACACGUGAGUAAUCUACCCUUUUGACUGGAAUAACGUCGGGAAACUGGCGCUAAUACCGGAUAAUGUUUUGAGUCGCUAGGCUCAAAACCAAAGCAGGCCUCUACUUGUAAGCCUGCACAGAAGGAUGAGCUCGCGCCCCAUUAGCUAGUUGGUAGGGUAAUGGCCUACCAAGGCGACGAUGGGUAGCCGGCCUGAGAGGGUGACCGGCCACACUGGAACUGAAACACGGUCCAGACUCCUACGGGAGGCAGCAGUGAGGAAUUUUGCGCAAUGGGCGAAAGCCUGACGCAGCGACGCCGCGUGGGCGAUGAAGCUUCUUGGAGUGUAAAGCCCUGUCAGGUGGGACGAAUUCGGGGUGCAAUAAUAAGGCAUCCCGCUGACGGUACCACCGGAGGAAGCCCCGGCUAACUCCGUGCCAGCAGCCGCGGUAAUACGGAGGGGCGAAGCGUUGUUCGGAAUCACUGGGUGUAAA
Molecule: ribosomal RNA, 538 nt
Filed under: uncultured bacterium
Lineage: Bacteria
Description: bacterial SSU rRNA
Rfam family: Bacterial small subunit ribosomal RNA
Source: RNAcentral